Molecule: ribosomal RNA, 749 nt
Filed under: Cochlostoma elegans
Lineage: Eukaryota; Metazoa; Mollusca; Gastropoda; Architaenioglossa; Cochlostomatidae
Description: eukaryotic LSU rRNA
Rfam family: Eukaryotic large subunit ribosomal RNA
Source: RNAcentral
AAACCGCCUAGAGGUAAACGGGUGGAUCCGCAAGUCGGCCCGCGAAAUUCAGCUCGGAGGGUUGGUCGAGGGCGUUAGGUCAGAGAUGCUCAUGCACUCUCCUGUCGCUCUACGCUGGCUUGACGUGUGCACUUUUCGCGGGCAGAGCGCCACGACCGGUUUUCGGGCAGUCAGAAGGCGGCGAGGAAGGUAGGCGGGCGCUUCGGCGUCUGCUGUUAUAGACUCGCCUGUCCUGACCUGCUCGGGGACCGAGGAGCCGCCGCUCGGCUGAGGCUGCCCUGCUCUCCUGGAGGGUUCGACUGGCAGAGACUGGGCAACCGUGUCUGCUGACCGCCUUUCUGGAUGGACGGGGAUGAGCCUGCCGGGCACAGGGUCGGUGGCGAAUCGGUCGGCACUCCACCCGACCCGUCUUGAAACACGGACCAAGGAGUCUAACAUGCGCGCGAGUCGUUGGGUAGUACGAAACCCGAAGGCGAAGUGAAAGCGAGGGCCGUCCUCGCGACGUGCUCAGGUGGGAUCCCGUGCUUCUUUGGCGCGGGCGCACCACUGGCCCGUCUCGUUCGCGUCGUCGAUGAGGCGGAGCAAGAGCGUGCACGUUGGGACCCGAAAGAUGGUGAACUAUGCCUGAGUAGGAUGAAGCCAGAGGAAACUCUGGUGGAGGUCCGCAGCGAUUCUGACGUGCAAAUCGAUCGUCAAACUUGGGUAUAGGGGCGAAAGACUAAUCGAACCAUCUAGUAGCUGGUUCCCUC